This 814-nucleotide ribosomal RNA is filed under the name uncultured bacterium. Its description in RNAcentral is "bacterial SSU rRNA". It matches the Rfam family "Bacterial small subunit ribosomal RNA", at positions 48 to 851 of the family's 1533-position model. The record is from RNAcentral.
GCUACACAUGCAGUCGAGCGGCAGCACAGCAGUAGCAAUACUGUGGGUGGCGAGCGGCGGACGGGUGAGGAAUACAUCGGAAUCUACCCUCUUGUGGGGGAUAACGUAGGGAAACUUACGCUAAUACCGCAUAAGACCUGAGGGUGAAAGCGGGGGACCGCAAGGCCUCGCGCGAGAAGAUGAGCCGAUGUCCGAUUAGCUAGUUGGUGAGGUAAAGGCUCACCAAGGCGACGAUCGGUAGCUGGUCUGAGAGGAUGAUCGGCCACACUGGAACUGAGACACGGUCCAGACUCCUACGGGAGGCAGCAGUGGGGAAUAUUGGACAAUGGGCGCAAGCCUGAUCCAGCCAUGCCGCGUGUGUGAAGAAGGCCUUCGGGUUGUAAAGCACUUUUGUUGGGGAAGAAAAGACCGCGGUUAAUAACCGUGGUUCAUGACGGUACCCAAAGAAUAAGCACCGGCUAACUUCGUGCCAGCAGCCGCGGUAAUACGAAGGGUGCAAGCGUUACUCGGAAUUACUGGGCGUAAAGCGUGCGUAGGCGGUUUGUUAAGUCUGUCGUGAAAGCCCCGGGCUCAACCUGGGAAUGGCGGUGGAUACUGGCAGGCUAGAGUACGGUAGAGGAUGGUGGAAUUCCCGGUGUAGCAGUGAAAUGCGUAGAGAUCGGGAGGAACAUCUAUGGCGAAGGCAGCCAUCUGGACCAGUACUGACGCUGAGGCACGAAAGCGUGGGGAGCAAACAGGAUUAGAUACCCUGGUAGUCCACGCCCUAAACGAUGCGAACUGGACGUUGGGCUCAAUUGAGAGCUCAGUGUCGAAG